RNAcentral lists this unclassified non-coding RNA (499 nucleotides) under Hevea brasiliensis (rubber tree). The record is from RNAcentral. Lineage: Eukaryota; Viridiplantae; Streptophyta; Magnoliopsida; Malpighiales; Euphorbiaceae.
CAUAAAAAAGGAAGAGAUCCAGAAAUUUGCAGAAGUUCAAUUCAAUUCUCCGAAACCAUCAUCAUCUUGCUUAUUACAUGGGUACAAAGUAGAAACAUGAAAGAGCAAUCAAGAAAGAAAAGUUGAAAAGAAGAAAAACAGAAAUCAAAGGAUAGUACAAGAAGAUGAAGAGGACUGAGCAGCAUCAUUAGGAUUAUUGGGAUCGACGCCAGGCCAUCCAUUGCAAAGACAGUGUUGGCCCUGAGGGAUUCGCUUAUAAACAGAUCGGACAUGCCUCCCACAACCGCCCCAAGUCGUUUUGCCGCAACUCGAGCAUGUCACCUCGUAGCACAUCUUUCUUUGGGCGUCAGUUGCUUCUUCUUCUCUUCUUCUGAAGUGAAAUUUUCAGUUGUAAAUUUAUAGAGGCCGCAGACGAUAUAAACUAGGGGAACGCAGCAGUGUACGCGCUCUCGACAACGCCAGUCGCCAGCCAAUCUCCAGUGGUUGGUUGAUGGCGAAG